Arabis alpina (gray rockcress) is the source of this 92-nucleotide non-coding RNA. The record is from Rfam. Lineage: Eukaryota; Viridiplantae; Streptophyta; Magnoliopsida; Brassicales; Brassicaceae.
GGGUGCGAUCAUACCAGCACUAAUGCACCGGAUCCCAUCAGAACUCCGCAGUUAAGUGUGCUUGACGAGAGUAGUACUAGGAUGGGUGACCU